RNAcentral lists this ribosomal RNA (472 nucleotides) under uncultured bacterium. RNAcentral describes it as "bacterial SSU rRNA". It matches the Rfam family "Bacterial small subunit ribosomal RNA", at positions 8 to 526 of the family's 1533-position model. The record is from RNAcentral.
AGAGUUUGAUCAUGGCUCAGAACGAACGCUGGCGGCAGGCUUAACACAUGCAAGUCGAACGUACCUUUCGGGGUGCGUGGCAGACGGGUGAGUAACGCGUGGGAACCUACCUAUCGGUUCGGAAUAACUCGGAGAAAUUCGAGACAAUACCGGAUACGCCCCUCGGGGGAAAGAUUUAUCGCCGAUAGAUGGGCCCGCGUUGGAUUAGCUAGUUGGUGAGGUAACGGCUCACCAAGGCUACGAUCCAUAGCUGGUCUAAGAGGAUGAUCAGCCACACUGGGACUGAGACACGGCCCAGACUCCUACGGGAGGCAGCAGUGGGGAAUAUUGGACAAUGGGGGAAACCCUGAUCCAGCCAUGCCGCGUGAGUGAUGAAGGCCUUAGGGUUGUAAAGCUCUUUCGCCUGGGAAGAUAAUGACGGUACCAGGUAAAGAAGCCCCGGCUAACUUCGUGCCAGCCGCCGCGGUAAUAC